Molecule: ribosomal RNA, 766 nt
Filed under: uncultured Russula
Lineage: Eukaryota; Fungi; Basidiomycota; Agaricomycetes; Russulales; Russulaceae
Description: eukaryotic LSU rRNA
Rfam family: Eukaryotic large subunit ribosomal RNA
Source: RNAcentral
GAAUCCCGUCUUUGGCAUGGAUGACCGGGGCUUUUGUGAUGCGCUCUCGAAGAGUCGAGUUGUUUGGGAAUGCAGCUCAAAAUGGGUGGUGAACUCCAUCUAAAGCUAAAUAUUGGCGAGAGACCGAUAGCGAACAAGUACCGUGAGGGAAAGAUGAAAAGCACUUUGGAAAGAGAGUGAAACAGUACGUGAAAUUGUUGAAAGGGAAACGCUUGAAGUCAGUCGCGUCGGCCGAGACUCAGCCUUGCCUCGGCUUGGUGUACUUCUUGACCGACGGGUCAGCAUCAAUUUUGCCCCUUGGAUAAUGGCGAGGGAAAUGUGACACCUUUAUAGGUGUGUUAUAGUCUCUCGUCGCAUGCAAGGGUCGGGAUUGAGGAACUCAGCACGCGCCUUCGGGCGUCGGGGCCUUGCCCACGAUACGUGCUUAGGAUGUUGGCGUAAUGGCUUUAAACGACCCGUCUUGAAACACGGACCAAGGAGUCUAACAUGCCCGCGAGUGUUCGGGUGGAAAACCCGUGCGCGCAAUGAAAGUGAAAGUUGGGACCUCUGUCGCGGAGGGCACCGACGCCCGGACCAGACCUUUUGCGACGGAUCUGCGGUAGAGCAUGCAUGUUGGGACCCGAAAGAUGGUGAACUAUGCCUGAAUAGGGUGAAGCCAGAGGAAACUCUGGUGGAGGCUCGUAGCGAUUCUGACGUGCAAAUCGAUCGUCAAAUUUGGGUAUAGGGGCGAAAGACUAAUCGAACCAUCUAGUAGCUGGUUCCUGCC